UACGGGGGGGGCAAGCGUUGUUCGGAAUUACUGGGCGUAAAGGGCUCGUAGGUGGCCAACUAAGUCAGACGUGAAAUCCCUCGGCUUAACCGGGGAACUGCGUCUGAUACUGGAUGGCUUGAGUUCGGGAGAGGGAUGCGGAAUUCCAGGUGUAGCGGUGAAAUGCGUAGAUAUCUGGAGGAACACCGGUGGCGAAGGCGGCAUCCUGGACCGAUACUGACGCUGAGGCGCGAAAGCGUGGGGAGCAAACAGG
This 253-nucleotide ribosomal RNA is filed under the name uncultured bacterium. RNAcentral's name for it is "partial 16S ribosomal RNA". It matches the Rfam family "Bacterial small subunit ribosomal RNA", at positions 524 to 776 of the family's 1533-position model. The record is from RNAcentral.